GCCAAGUGUGGUGGUGCACUCCUGUAAUCCCAGCAAUUUGGGAGGCUGAGGCAGGAGGAUCGCAAGUUCAAGGUCAGUCUCAGCAAUUUAGUGAGGUCCUAAGCAACUUAGCGAGACUCUGUCUCCA
RNAcentral lists this small RNA (127 nucleotides) under Marmota monax (woodchuck). Lineage: Eukaryota; Metazoa; Chordata; Mammalia; Rodentia; Sciuridae. The record is from RNAcentral.